CCUACGGGCGGCAGCAGUGGGGAAUAUUGCACAAUGGGGGAAACCCUGAUGCAGCGACGCCGCGUGAGUGAAGAAGUCAUUCGUUAUGUAAAGCUCUAUCAGCAGGGAAGAAAAUGACGGUACCUGAGUACUAAGCCCCGGCUAACUACGUCCCAGCAGCCGCGGUCAGACGGAGGGGGCAAGCGUUAGCCGGAUUUACUGGGUGUAAGGGGAGCGUAGACGGCAGUGCAAGUCUGGAGUGAAAGGCGGGGGCUCAACCCCCGGACUGCUCUGGAAACUGUACGGCUGGAGUGCAGGAGAGGGAAGUGGAAUUCCUAGUGUAGCGGUGAAAUGCGUAGAGAUUAGGAGGAACACCAGUGGCGAAGGCGGCUUACUGGACUGUAACUGACGUUGAGGCUCGAAAGCGUGGGGAGCAAACAGGAUUAGAUACCCUAGUAGUC
This 440-nucleotide ribosomal RNA is filed under the name uncultured bacterium. Its description in RNAcentral is "partial 16S ribosomal RNA". It matches the Rfam family "Bacterial small subunit ribosomal RNA", at positions 338 to 795 of the family's 1533-position model. The record is from RNAcentral.